UACGUAGGGUGCAAGCGUUAAUCGGAAUUACUGGGCGUAAAGCGUGCGCAGGCGGUGAUGUAAGACAGUUGUGAAAUCCCCCGGGCUCAACCUGGGAACUGCAUCUGUGACUGCAUUGCUGGAGUGCGGCAGAGGGGGAUGGAAUUCCGCGUGUAGCAGUGAAAUGCGUAGAUAUCUGGAGGAACACCGGUGGCGAAGGCGGCAUCCUGGACCGAGAUUGACGCUGAGGCGCGAAAGCGUGGGGGAGCGAACAGG
This 255-nucleotide ribosomal RNA is filed under the name uncultured bacterium. RNAcentral's name for it is "partial 16S ribosomal RNA". It matches the Rfam family "Bacterial small subunit ribosomal RNA", at positions 524 to 776 of the family's 1533-position model. The record is from RNAcentral.